UUAGGUUCAUGAAGUGUUGGGAGGUAUGAACAUCCAAGCAGUGGCUCCAAAUUUAUACAAAUGAUUCACUGAACCCUUCACUCAACCCUCUUGCACACGCUGACCCUGCCGAGGUCCACAGUGUGCACCCUGCAUUUGCCAUUCCUUUUCAACAUAUGUGCUUGAAAUUCAAAGGCAACAGAACUGGCGGGGGAUUGAUUUCUUACCUUUUGAAAACCAGAAGAGACUGGGGAGUGUCUGAUUGAGGGGGCUGGGCAAGAAUCAAGCAGGCUGGACCUCGCCAGCAGCGAACACCAGCCACAGAGGACUGCCCCUCUCUUCGGGACAGCCCAGCAUCAGUCCAUUUGCAAGGAGGGAUGCUGAGGGAUGCUCCUCUGCCACAUUCCCCUUCUUCCUCCUGAAGGAUGGGCAAUUGGCCAGAAAGCACCAGGGAGGCAGCAGGACAAAGCUUUGAGUUUAAUAUCAGAGUGAACUGAGUCCAAAUCCAGACCCCACCACUGAAGAGUUUGAUGUCUGGCAAGUG
RNAcentral lists this long non-coding RNA (523 nucleotides) under Marmota monax (woodchuck). The record is from RNAcentral. Lineage: Eukaryota; Metazoa; Chordata; Mammalia; Rodentia; Sciuridae.